RNAcentral lists this non-coding RNA (25 nucleotides) under Mus musculus (house mouse). The record is from RNAcentral. Lineage: Eukaryota; Metazoa; Chordata; Mammalia; Rodentia; Muridae.
UAAAGGAUCAGAGCAGUCGUGCCAA